UACGUAGGGCGCAAGCGUUAUCCGGAAUUACUGGGCGUAAAGCGCGUGUAGGCUGACCGGAAAGUCGGGCGUGAAAUCCCUGGGCUCAACCCAGGAACUGCACUCGAAACUCCCGGUCUUGAGUGGUGGAGAGGGAAGUGGAAUUCCUGGUGUAGAGGUGAAAUUCGUAGAUAUCAGGAGGAACACCAGUGGCGAAGGCGGCUUCCUGGACACCAACUGACGCUGAGACGCGAAAGCGUGGGGAGCAAACAGG
RNAcentral lists this ribosomal RNA (253 nucleotides) under uncultured bacterium. RNAcentral's name for it is "partial 16S ribosomal RNA". It matches the Rfam family "Bacterial small subunit ribosomal RNA", at positions 524 to 776 of the family's 1533-position model. The record is from RNAcentral.